AGGGCGGGACACGUGAUAUCCUGUCUGAAUAUGGGGGGACCAUCCUCCAAGGCUAAAUACUCCUGACUGACCGAUAGUGAACCAGUACCGUGAGGGAAAGGCGAAAAGAACCCCUGUGAGGGGAGUGAAAUAGAACCUGAAACCGUGUACGUACAAGCAGUAGGAGCACCUUCGUGGUGUGACUGCGUACCUUUUGUAUAAUGGGUCAGCGACUUAUAUUCAGUGGCAAGGUUAACCGUAUAGGGGAGCCGUAGCGAAAGCGAGUCUUAACUGGGCGCUCAGUCUCUGGAUAUAGACCCGAAACCGGGUGAUCUAGCCAUGGGCAGGUUGAAGGUUGAGUAACAUCAACUGGAGGACCGAACCGACUAAUGUUGAAAAAUUAGCGGAUGACUUGUGGCUAGGGGUGAAAGGCCAAUCAAACUCGGAGAUAGCUGGUUCUCCCCGAAAGCUAUUUAGGUAGCGCCUCGGACGAAUACUACUGGGGGUAGAGCACUGUUAAGGCUAGGGGGUCAUCCCGACUUACCAACCCUUUGCAAACUCCGAAUACCAGUAAGUACUAUCCGGGAGACACACGGCGGGUGCUAACGUCCGUCGUGGAGAGGGAAACAACCCAGACCGCCAGCUAAGGUCCCAAAGUAUUGCUAAGUGGGAAACGAUGUGGGAAGGCUCAGACAGCUAGGAUGUUGGCUUAGAAGCAGCCAUCAUUUAAAGAAAGCGUAAUAGCUCACUAGUCGAGUCGGCCUGCGCGGAAGAUGUAACGGGGCUAAGCAAUACACCGAAGCUGCGGCAAUGUCUUUUAGACAUUGGGUAGGGGAGCGUUCUGUAAGCCGUUGAAGGUGAAUCGUAAGGUUUGCUGGAGGUAUCAGAAGUGCGAAUGCUGACAUGAGUAACGACAAAGGGGGUGAAAAACCUCCUCGCCGGAAGACCAAGGGUUCCUGUCCAACGUUAAUCGGGGCAGGGUGAGUCGACCCCUAAGGUGAGGCCGAAAGGCGUAAUCGAUGGGAAACGGGUUAAUAUUCCCGUACUUCUGACUAUUGCGAUGGGGGGACGGAGAAGGCUAGGUGGGCCAGGCGACGGUUGUCCUGGUUCAAGUGCGUAGGCUUGAGAGUUAGGUAAAUCCGGCUCUCUCUAAGGCUGAGACACGACGUCGAGCUACUACGGUAGUGAAGUCAUUGAUGCCAUGCUUCCAGGAAAAGCCUCUAAGCUUCAGAUAGUCAGGAAUCGUACCCCAAACCGACACAGGUGGUCGGGUAGAGAAUACCAAGGCGCUUGAGAGAACUCGGGUGAAGGAACUAGGCAAAAUGGUACCGUAACUUCGGGAGAAGGUACGCUCUUGAUGGUGAAGUCCCUCGCGGAUGGAGCUGACGAGAGUCGCAGAUACCAGGUGGCUGCAACUGUUUAUUAAAAACACAGCACUGUGCAAAAUCGCAAGAUGACGUAUACGGUGUGACGCCUGCCCGGUGCCGGAAGGUUAAUUGAUGGGGUUAGCGCAAGCGAAGCUCUUGAUCGAAGCCCCGGUAAACGGCGGCCGUAACUAUAACGGUCCUAAGGUAGCGAAAUUCCUUGUCGGGUAAGUUCCGACCUGCACGAAUGGCGUAAUGAUGGCCACGCUGUCUCCACCCGAGACUCAGUGAAAUUGAAAUCGCUGUGAAGAUGCAGUGUACCCGCGGCUAGACGGAAAGACCCCGUGAACCUUUACUACAGCUUGGCACUGAACAUUGAACCUACAUGUGUAGGAUAGGUGGGAGGCUAUGAAGACGUGACGCCAGUUGCGUUGGAGCCGUCCUUGAAAUACCACCCUUGUAUGU
This 1808-nucleotide ribosomal RNA is filed under the name Vibrio cholerae. Its description in RNAcentral is "partial 23S ribosomal RNA". It matches the Rfam family "Bacterial large subunit ribosomal RNA", at positions 414 to 2213 of the family's 2925-position model. The record is from RNAcentral. Lineage: Bacteria; Pseudomonadati; Pseudomonadota; Gammaproteobacteria; Vibrionales; Vibrionaceae.